GACGAACGCUGGCGGCGUGCUUAACACAUGCAAGUCGAACGGAAAGGCCCUGCUUUUGUGGGGUGCUCGAGUGGCGAACGGGUGAGUAACACGUGAGUAACCUGCCCUUGACUUUGGGAUAACUUCAGGAAACUGGGGCUCAUACCGGAUAGGAGCUCCUGCUGCAUGGGGGGGAUUGGAAAGUUUCGGCGGUUGGGGAUGGACUCGCGGCUUAUCAGCUUGUUGGUGGGGUAGUGGCUUACCAAGGCUUUGACGGGUAGCCGGCCUGAGAGGGUGACCGGCCACAUUGGGACUGCGGUACGGCCCAGACUCCUACGGGAGGCAGCAGUGGGGAAUAUUGCACAAUGGGCGGAAGCCUGAUGCAGCAACGCCGCGUGCGGGAUGCCGGCCUUCGGGUUGUAAACCGCUUUCGCCUGUGCCGAAGCCUGAGUGACGGUAAUGGGUAAAGAAGCACCGGCUAACUACGUG
Molecule: ribosomal RNA, 468 nt
Filed under: uncultured bacterium
Lineage: Bacteria
Description: partial 16S ribosomal RNA
Rfam family: Bacterial small subunit ribosomal RNA
Source: RNAcentral